UAGACAUAUUAUAGGUACCCACCUGCUGCCGAGUUUUGUUUUAAACAUAAUAUUAAUAUUGUUAUGUAUUCAUCGCAUACAGACGCGACUGUAAAUCACCGAAUGGUUUUGAAUGAGUCUUUGGUGUCUGAGAAAAUUGGACAUUCGAUACCUACCUAUACCUACUAACAUUUUACUGAAUUUUCGUAAUACGUUAUUAUUCCCUGAUUGAUAACUUCAUGUAAACAUGUGUGUC
Cinara cedri is the source of this 235-nucleotide non-coding RNA. The record is from the annotation of a GenBank genome assembly. Lineage: Eukaryota; Metazoa; Arthropoda; Insecta; Hemiptera; Aphididae.